This is a non-coding RNA of Podarcis lilfordi (Lilford's wall lizard), 75 nucleotides long. Lineage: Eukaryota; Metazoa; Chordata; Lepidosauria; Squamata; Lacertidae. The record is from the annotation of a GenBank genome assembly.
ACCUGCGAUAGUUCAGUUGGUAGAGCAUAUGAGACUCUUAAUCUUAGGUCAUGGGUUCAAGCCCCAUGUUGGGUG